CUGCUGUUGUGGGGCAGCGGGAGAGGUCUGAGAUCGGUUGCUAGAACCUGUCCUUGGUUCGAGCCUAUAAAGCGUCCUUGUUGAGCAUUGCGGUGAAUAUGACUUGCACGUGUGAGUAGUCCAUGUGCAUACAUAUUGUAAACUUGUCUGUACACUCGAGGAAAGAAAUUUAGCAGAGACCAGGCAGCCGUGGUUGCGGCUUCGGGGAUGGCGCUUUCGGUUCAUUAGGAUAAAGGGGACGAUCGGUCUCAAGGGACUUUACCCUGCGUUU
RNAcentral lists this signal recognition particle RNA (271 nucleotides) under Tortispora caseinolytica NRRL Y-17796. Its description in RNAcentral is "Fungal signal recognition particle RNA". It matches the Rfam family "Fungal signal recognition particle RNA". The record is from Rfam by way of RNAcentral. Lineage: Eukaryota; Fungi; Ascomycota; Trigonopsidomycetes; Trigonopsidales; Trigonopsidaceae.